AAGUCGUAACAAGGUUUCCGUAGGUGAACCUGCGGAAGGAUCAUUAAUGAAAACUUCAGGAGUUGCUGCUGGCCUCUCGAGGCAUUCGUGCACGCUCCGUUUUUCAUCCACCCACACCUGUGCACAAUUCAAUUUGAGAGGGAAAGAAAAGGCGGGAGGGGGAUUUCUUCGGGAGUUCUCUUUCAAUCUCUAUUUCCUUCCAAAUUAUUUAACACACUCUACGAAAUUAUCAGAACGAACAUGUUUAUUUGUAAACAAACUUAACAACUUUCAACAACGGAUCUCUUGGCUCUC
This 294-nucleotide unclassified non-coding RNA is filed under the name air metagenome. RNAcentral describes it as "partial contains small subunit ribosomal RNA, internal transcribed spacer 1, and 5.8S ribosomal RNA". The stretch from base 1 to 46 matches the Rfam family "Eukaryotic small subunit ribosomal RNA", at positions 1786 to 1831 of the family's 1831-position model. The record is from RNAcentral.